RNAcentral lists this small RNA (27 nucleotides) under Bombyx mori (domestic silkworm). RNAcentral's name for it is "piRNA piR-bmo-1544340". Lineage: Eukaryota; Metazoa; Arthropoda; Insecta; Lepidoptera; Bombycidae. The record is from RNAcentral.
GGCAGGUUUUAGGCGAUCUAUGGUGAC